UAGGGAAUAUUAGAAAUGGACGAAAGUCUGAUCUAGCAACACCGCGUGUGCGAAGAAGGCCUUCGGGUUGUAAAGCACUUUUUGGAAGGAUUAGGAAGGAAUGUACUUCCAGAAUAAGUCUCGGCUAACUACGUGCCAGCAGCCGCGGUAACACGUAGGAGGCAAACGUUAUCCGGAUUUACUGGGCGUAAAGCGCGUGUAGGUGGUUCUGUAAGUAGGGCGUGAAAGCUCCCGGCUCAACUGGGAGAGGCCGUUCUAAACUGCAGAACUAGAGGAUGGUAGAGGGAGGUGGAAUUCCGGGUGUAGCGGUGGAAUGCGCAGAUAUCCGGAGGAACACCAGUGGCGAAAGCGGCCUCCUGGACCAUUCCUGACACUCAGACGCGAAAGCUAGGGUAGCAAACG
This 402-nucleotide ribosomal RNA is filed under the name uncultured prokaryote. RNAcentral describes it as "bacterial SSU rRNA". It matches the Rfam family "Bacterial small subunit ribosomal RNA", at positions 355 to 774 of the family's 1533-position model. The record is from RNAcentral.